RNAcentral lists this ribosomal RNA (429 nucleotides) under Acidobacteriota bacterium. Its description in RNAcentral is "Acidobacteria bacterium partial 16S ribosomal RNA". It matches the Rfam family "Bacterial small subunit ribosomal RNA", at positions 355 to 776 of the family's 1533-position model. Lineage: Bacteria; Pseudomonadati; Acidobacteriota. The record is from RNAcentral.
UGGGGAAUUUUGGACAAUGGGGGAAACCCUGAUCCAGCCAUCCCGCGUGUGCGAUGAAGGCCUUCGGGUUGUAAAGCACUUUUGGCAGGAAAGAAACGUCAUGGGUUAAUACCCCGUGAAACUGACGGUACCUGCAGAAUAAGCACCGGCUAACUACGUGCCAGCAGCCGCGGUAAUACGUAGGGUGCAAGCGUUAAUCGGAAUUACUGGGCGUAAAGCGUGCGCAGGCGGUUCGGAAAGAAAGAUGUGAAAUCCCAGAGCUCAACUUUGGAACUGCAUUUUUAACUACCGGGCUAGGGUGUGUCAGAGGGAGGUGGAAUUCCGCGUGUAGCAGUGAAAUGCGUAGAUAUGCGGAGGAACACCGGUGGCGAAGGCAGCCUCCUGGAAUAACACUGACACUCAUGCACGAAAGGGUGGGGAGCAAACAGG